CACGUAGGCGGACGACUAAGUCGGAUGUGAAAUCCCUGGGCUUAACCUGGGAACUGCAUCCGAUACUGGUCGCCUAGAGUAUGGAAGAGGGAAGCGGAAUUCCAGGUGUAGCGGUGAAAUGCGUAGAUAUCUGGAGGAACAUCAGUGGCGAAGGCGGCUUCCUGGUCCAAUACUGACGCUGAGGUGCGAAAGCGUGGGGAGCAAACA
This 207-nucleotide ribosomal RNA is filed under the name uncultured bacterium. Its description in RNAcentral is "partial 16S ribosomal RNA". It matches the Rfam family "Bacterial small subunit ribosomal RNA", at positions 568 to 774 of the family's 1533-position model. The record is from RNAcentral.